Molecule: long non-coding RNA, 4483 nt
Organism: Mugil cephalus (flathead mullet)
Lineage: Eukaryota; Metazoa; Chordata; Actinopteri; Mugiliformes; Mugilidae
Exons: 3
Source: RefSeq, a predicted model, not a curated record
GUAUUAGCUGCUGGUGCCUGCAGGCAGUAGCCUGUUCGGUUGCCCGGGAAACACAGAUGGUGGAUGAACGGGGCGCAUACAAAAGACCAUAAACCUGUGGAAGCAGCUGGAGACCGAGACCACUGAUUAAUUCAAGUCUGCGCAGUCCCCCCCUCAGUAAAAGAAGUCAGUGUUCUCAUUAAUGCCUCCAGCUCGUUUUCUUUGUCCCGGGGCUUCCGUAUUCACUUUAUCCUGUUUUUUGCCCGGACUGGACUCCCGUCAGUGAGCAGCUGUUGUUGGCACACCCACAUCUGCUGGUGUCAGCUCGGCGGCCAUAGAAGAGGACGCUCAACCGCGGCAUGUCGGUGCGUAGCGGGUCGGUGCGAAGGGCGAGCAGGCUUUUACUGCAGGCGUUUCACUGCAAGCACACACGACGACGACCGUGAGCUGUUUACCCUCAGCAAGGAAAAAGAAGAAGAAGAAGAAGAAGACCGAGGAGAAGCAGCGAUCUUUUCGCACCUUUUGAUGCUGCGGGACAGGUGCAUGUGGAACCUGGAGAUCCCUGGAAACAUUUGGGUCAGUGUUGCAUGGACCAGAGUCUCCAUCAGAGCUGCUGACAUGUCACCAGGACGCUGGGAGGAUCCCAAUGGAAACCAACAGCAGGACAGGUUAUGUGUACAGGCUGGAUCAGAUAGAGCAUUUGAUUAGUCAGUCAGUUAGAUAACUGAUAUCAGCGAACAUAUCAAGUGACUUUAUCAACAGGAGAAAGAAGGAAUGAAUGAAAAAGCUAUGCCUUUGUAUCUUGGGAGGACAGUUGGGUUGUGUUCCACUUCUCUGCUGCUUUGUGUUGUGUGUUCUUCUCCAGUUACACCAGUGGAAAAGCAGACCGAGGCUUGACAGGACCUCAUUGUGCUCCCGGUGGCGUCGCUCCAUCGCCCUCUGCUGUGCUUCCUCCCAGACUGGUACAGGAUCUAACCGUAGAUUUACACCGCUGUGACUUUUAUGUCCCUCAUAUUCGCUUUUACACGCCACCACUCUGACUCGUUAUUGACUGAUGCAUGGUGCCAUUACUGCUGCUGCGUACCUUUAGAAGGAGAGAAUCCCCAUCAAGAGACGACUUAUGCUGUUUUUGUGUAUCAGUGAAAAGAGUUUAAAAUGCUGCUUUGUAAUCACCACGAUCCAAUUAUUUAUUUAUUUUAUUUUUUUAACCGUGUCUCUCAAAUUGAUGUAUUUUUCCUGGCUGUGAGUAAUACUGACAUAGCUUCAUUCGCCCACUCGUUUUUUGUUUGUGCUCAUCAAAACCACUGACACUGUGGCUACGAAAAGCCUCGUAUGCUUGUUUUGUUCAGCUGCUGUGCGCAGUGACCUCUUCACUCUUGUUUCCGUAGUUACUCUUUCUGACACUUCGGUUACUUCUCACUGUACGAGACACUUCACUAGAAGUGGCGCUUUAACGGCUCUGCUUCGACUCGCAAAAUAUAGCAUGCGUCUACGUCAGAUACAGAGCCUGCAAAGAUGAUUUAAAAAAAAAACAAAAAAAAACACGGGUGAGAAUGAUGAGUUUUCUCACAUGGUAAAAAUGUGUAGUUCUCACAGUAUGCUUUUGUCUGUGUUGAAACCUCAAGUAAGGUGUCAAACUAUUUUUAAUGUACUACUCACAAUAUGUGCUCUGUAUUUUUACUGGAGUGUGUGUGAACGGGGGUGUCUGUGUGAGUGCAUGUGUUUUUGUUUUUUGCAUGUUCUCUAUUUGUGUACAUGUUCGUAGAGGUAUGUGCGCAUGUGUAUUAUGUCAGUCGGGUGAAAUGUAUUCGUAAUGGGCCUGAAGCUGAAGCUAGAAGCUGCUUUACCAGGAUUUUCUCAUAGCUGCAAACCUUUUAAUACAUCCCUUUACCUAGUGGAUGUUCCAGAUACAGCUUAAAACACUAUUUACUAAUGAUUCUUAGCAUUUGUUCCAACCUCAUUGAACUAGCAGUUAUUCUUGUGAUUCGGAUCGCAUUGGAAAUUAAUGGUGUGUAGUUUUCUAAAUGAUGCCCGCCGGCAUUAAUUAAUCUAUCCGGCCUACAGCUCCAUCUUUCAACACUUUAAUUACAGCAAAUGCUAAUAAUUAUGUGUGAAUAGCUUUUUCUACCCGGGUCUGGAUUCUACUAACAGUAUCCCACUAAUAUCUAACCAUACUAAUGUCUGCUAACAGUUGAAGGAUUACUAACCCGUAAUGAGAAUGCUGAUGGCUGGCGUUUCUAACCCACUGACUAACCCUCUGCUUUGUGACUGCAGUCUCAUGCACGCCCUCCUCUCACACGGUCCUGAAAUUCUUCUUUUAGAAAUGAUCAAGUCAGAUAUUAAUUAUUCAAGAAGACAGACACGCUGAAAAUGCGAGCAUGCCCAGAAGGGUUUCAGGACUUGGGAGGAUGGAGGGGGAGUGCUAUUAACCACAAGUUGAAAAGAGGAGCAAGAACAGCUGCUGAUAUGAAACUGGGUUGACCACAUACUUUGAGAAGAAUUUCUCACAAAACUGAUUAUGGUCUGACUCCAAAGCGUCGCAGUUCCCAGGAUAAAUUCACAUCGUCAGAGACCGGUUUGUGUCUCUGUACGUGCCCUGUGUGGUCAACCUCUGCAGGUGAGUGUCUGGCUUGUUCUUAUUGCAGGUCGUAGAUUAAGACAGAAGACCAACACAUACUCCUCAUGGCAUUGAUACUAACCACGGUGAAGCUGUGAAGCUCCACCUGUUGCUCUUACUAACAUCUCUGCUCUUUCAUAAUCUUUAAGCAGAUAAUAAUAAAGCAUGCCUUGUAAUAAAGUGAUGUUCUUUAAAGUAGUUAACAUGAAAGCUUUUUAUCCAAAAGCUUUGCCCGUUCUACUUGGAACAUUAGAAAUCUCCAAAAACGACUAAGGACAGUUUUGUCUCCUACAGUUGAAUUAACAGUUACUAACACAAGGGGCUUUUAAAACUAACAAACUAACCCACUAAUAAUCUAACAACCACUAACUAGAAUCACUAACAUUGUGCUUAGUGACGGAAUAAGUGACGCAGCCCCUAUUUAAGGAGCUGCAUCACUUGUUGAAUAUGCCAACAGUUUUUAAGAGUCAGUGAUGUGCUUGAAUGUGCGAGAGAGAGAAGAUUGAGUGUGUUCUUACAGAAGGUGUUUAUGUGUUAAAUUCUGAGCUGGUUCACACUGGAUUUCACCAGUAAAUACAGCAUUCGACAUCUCAGGAGUUUUACGUGUUGAGACAAAUUAAAUGUACACAGCUACUGUUGUACCUCAUUGUUAACUCAUUACUCGUCUUGGCUAUAGUUGUUGUUAGCUGCUUUCAUAUCAAAAUUUAUUGACAAUAAAGUUGACUUGAAGAACGUUUUUUAAUGUCUUGUUGCUUUUCUGAACUGUUUGCACGGAAGCAGACUCAAAACUAAAGAUGAAGGCAAACAAACUGUCAGCAGCAGCAGCGGCAACAACAGGUGAAGCAAAAUCACCUCCAACAACUUCAUUUCUACACAGCGACCUGCAACGUUUUAUUAGACUGUCAUUAUGAUAUUUGAUAUGAAGGUAAUAACCUCAAGUUUGCUGUUGCAUGAUCUGUUUACCCCACAAACCCAUAUAAACUGAUCAGGCACAACAUUAGGACCACCCUUCUAAUAUUGUGUAGGGGGUCUUUGGGUCCUGUGGGUUGAGGGGAGGGGGCCCUGUGUGCAUCUUCCCACAUAUACUCGAUCAGUUAGGGGUGAAUUUGGAGGCCAGGUCAACAGCUUGUGCUGUUAUUUUAUUUUAUUUUUUGUUUUUCUGUGUGUGUCUGUGUCAGACUGCAUCCUGCGGGGGAUAGCUGCAGCUAUCAAACAGUGCCUUUAGUAUGGGGUGGGGGUGCCUGGUCUGGUCUAGGUGGGUGUUACAUGUCUAAGUAACGUCCACAUCAAUACCAGGUCCAAAAGUUCCGCAACAUGGUCGAUGUUAUUUACUUCUCCUGCCAGUGGUUUUAUUGUUGUGGCUGAUCGAUGUAUCUGCAUCACAGCCGCACCCAGUUACCAACCAAUACACCACCAACACAGUUCAACACACUAACAGAGAUUAAGCUAUUUCUCUGAAGGCUCUUUAAUUUUAAAAUUUUGAUCCGUCUCUCUACGUCUGGAUUCUGAGGUAAAAUUUUCUUUUUUAAUGAAAUACAGACAAUAUGAGAAUUAAAAUCUGUAAUUAUUUGUGUAGACACUUAAGUGUCGCUAAAAGAUCACUGUGAAUCAGCUCAGUAUAAACACUAUAACUCACAAGUAAUGGUGGUGUCCUGCUGUCUUUUCAGAGUUUUCAUGGAUGCAAAAUUACAGCAGGGGGCAGCAACUCCUCAGUCGGGAGGAUUUGAUGUCUGUUUUUUUCUGAUGGAGGGCAAACUACCACCCUAAGCAUCAAAUGGGCCAAUGUUUGUGAAGAUGUGCAGUGACUUGAUGUUGAUCACUCUUUAUUCAGAUCACAUUCUGCAUCUGUACCUCAAUUAAAAGUCUGCAUUUGUGUUUGAAUUUAAA